ACUCAAAUGAAUUGACGGGGACCCACACAAGCGGUGGAGCAUGUGGUUUAAUUCGACACUAAACGAAGAACCUUACCCAGGCUUGACAUUCUUGGAACCCCCUGGAAACAGGGGGGUGCCCGCAAGGGAGCCGAGUAACAGGUGCUGCAUGGUCGUCGUCAGCUCGUGUCGUGAGAUGUUGGGUUAAGUCCCGCAACGAGCGCAACCCUCGUCGAUAGUUGUAUUUUUCUAUCGAGACUGCCCGGUACAACCGGGAGGAAGGUGGGGAUGACGUCAGAUCAGCAUGGCCUUUAUGCCUGGGGCCACACACGUGCUACAAUGGCAAGGACAGCGGGAAGCGAAGCCGUAAGGCGGAGCCAAUCCCUUAAAACUUGCCUCAGUUCGGAUUGAGGGCUGAAACUCGCCCUCAUGAAGUUGGAAUCGCUAGUAACCGCCGGUCAGCUAUACGGCGGUGAAUAUGUUCCUGGGUCUUGUACACACCGCCCGU
This 487-nucleotide ribosomal RNA is filed under the name uncultured bacterium. RNAcentral describes it as "partial 16S ribosomal RNA". It matches the Rfam family "Bacterial small subunit ribosomal RNA", at positions 899 to 1397 of the family's 1533-position model. The record is from RNAcentral.